CUGCCAACAGCAACCAGAUCAUGUGACAUCUGUCUGUCUGUAGUAUGACUAGAAGCAGCCCUGUUCACCGUUUUCUUCAUAUCCACUUUGAUUGUGAGAUGUUCCCUCCUACAGUUGACAUCUGACAUUUUCACAUCUGAAACAGUAUGACUUGAAUCAUGCUGGCUACUGGAAGAAUCUCCUUUUCUCCUGAGUUCCCCUUCUUUCCUUACUCUUUCCUUCUGCUUGUUUUUAAAGGGUCUCAGAUCAACAUCCAUUUUAGAAGAGUUAACACAAGCAUUGCAGCCCUUCUUUGAACUAUAUUUAGCAGGGACUUCAACAUGCCCUUCUUCAGUCUGUCUCGCUCUUCCACCACUAAAGUAAUCUAACUUUUUGUUAUUCCAGGCACCCUUAGAAGAUCCAUAUUUCUGAUCUUCCUGCUUCACAUACUUCUGAGCUCUAUCAUCUGUAAAAGACUUUUCCCCAUCCAGGUGCCUGCGCCGUUUGUGACUGUAUUCAUAGGCUAUCUUUGUGAC
This 515-nucleotide long non-coding RNA is filed under the name Gallus gallus (chicken). The record is from RNAcentral. Lineage: Eukaryota; Metazoa; Chordata; Aves; Galliformes; Phasianidae.